Molecule: ribosomal RNA, 465 nt
Filed under: Vreelandella stevensii
Lineage: Bacteria; Pseudomonadati; Pseudomonadota; Gammaproteobacteria; Oceanospirillales; Halomonadaceae
Description: partial 16S ribosomal RNA
Rfam family: Bacterial small subunit ribosomal RNA
Source: RNAcentral
CCUACGGGCUGCAGCAGUGGGGAAUAUUGGACAAUGGGCGAAAGCCUGAUCCAGCCAUGCCGCGUGUGUGAAGAAGGCCUUCGGGUUGUAAAGCACUUUCAGUGGGGAAGAAAGCCUUGGGGCUAAUACCCUCGAGGAAGGACAUCACCCACAGAAGAAGCACCGGCUAACUCCGUGCCAGCAGCCGCGGUAAUACGGAGGGUGCGAGCGUUAAUCGGAAUUACUGGGCGUAAAGCGCGCGUAGGCGGUCUGAUAAGCCGGUUGUGAAAACCCCGGGCUCAACCUGGGAACGGCAUCCGGAACUGUCAGGCUAGAGUGCAGGAGAGGAAGGUAGAAUUCCCGGUGUAGCGGUGAAAUGCGUAGAGAUCGGGAGGAAUACCAGUGGCGAAGGCGGCCUUCUGGACUGACACUGACGCUGAGGUGCGAAAGCGUGGGUAGCAAACAGGAUUAGAUACCCCGGUAGUC